UGGGGAAUUUUGGACAAUGGGGGCAACCCUGAUCCAGCCAUGCCGCGUGAGUGAAGAAGGCCUUCGGGUUGUAAAGCUCUUUCAGCCGGGAAGAAAUCGCAUCAGCUAAUACCUGGUGUGGAUGACGGUACCGGAAUAAGAAGCACCGGCUAACUACGUGCCAGCAGCCGCGGUAAUACGUAGGGUGCGAGCGUUAAUCGGAAUUACUGGGCGUAAAGCGUGCGCAGGCGGUUGUGUAAGACAGGCGUGAACUCCCCGGGCUCAACCUGGGAACUGCGUUUGUGACUGCACAGCUAG
Molecule: ribosomal RNA, 297 nt
Filed under: uncultured prokaryote
Description: partial 16S ribosomal RNA
Rfam family: Bacterial small subunit ribosomal RNA
Source: RNAcentral